Molecule: ribosomal RNA, 429 nt
Filed under: Gemmatimonadota bacterium
Lineage: Bacteria; Pseudomonadati; Gemmatimonadota
Description: Gemmatimonadetes bacterium partial 16S ribosomal RNA
Rfam family: Bacterial small subunit ribosomal RNA
Source: RNAcentral
UAGGGAAUCUUCGGCAAUGGACGAAAGUCUGACCGAGCAACGCCGCGUGAGUGAAGAAGGUUUUCGGAUCGUAAAACUCUGUUGUUAGAGAAGAACAAGGACGUUAGUAACUGAACGUCCCCUGACGGUAUCUAACCAGAAAGCCACGGCUAACUACGUGCCAGCAGCCGCGGUAAUACGUAGGUGGCAAGCGUUGUCCGGAUUUAUUGGGCGUAAAGCGAGCGCAGGCGGUUUCUUAAGUCUGAUGUGAAAGCCCCCGGCUCAACCGGGGAGGGUCAUUGGAAACUGGGAGACUUGAGUGCAGAAGAGGAGAGUGGAAUUCCAUGUGUAGCGGUGAAAUGCGUAGAUAUAUGGGGGAACACCAGGGGCGAAGGCGGCUCUCUGGUCUGUAACUGACGCUGAGGCUCGAAAGCGUGGGGAGCAAACAGG